AUUGGGGGGCUGGCUAUUACAUGCAGUCGAACGCAUUUUCUUUCACCGUAGCUUGCUACACCGAAAGAAAAUGAGUUGAGAAGGGGUGAGUAACACGUGGGUAACCUGCCCAUCAGCGGGGGAUAACACUUGGAAACAGGUGCUAAUACCGCAUAAUUCCAUUUACCGCAUGGUAGAUGGAUGAAAGGCGCUUUUGCGUCACUGAUGGAUGGACCCGCGGUGCAUUAGCUAGUUGGUGGGGUAACGGCCUACCAAGGCUGCGAUGCAUAGCCGACCUGAGAGGGUGAUCGGCCACACUGGGACUGAGACACGGCCCAGACUCCUACGGGAGGCAGCAGUAGGGAAUCUUCGGCAAUGGACGAAAGUCUGACCGAGCAACGCCGCGUGAGUGAAGAAGGUUUUCGGAUCGUAAAACUCUGUUGUUAGAGAAGAACAAGGAUGAGAGUGGAAAGUUCAUCCCUUGACGGUAUCUAACCAUAAAGCCACGGCUAACUACGUGCCAGCAGCCGCGGUAAUACGUAGGUGGCAAGCGUUGUCCGGAUUUAUUGGGCGUAAAGC
This 558-nucleotide ribosomal RNA is filed under the name Enterococcus cecorum. Its description in RNAcentral is "bacterial SSU rRNA". It matches the Rfam family "Bacterial small subunit ribosomal RNA", at positions 35 to 566 of the family's 1533-position model. The record is from RNAcentral. Lineage: Bacteria; Bacillati; Bacillota; Bacilli; Lactobacillales; Enterococcaceae.